Molecule: ribosomal RNA, 707 nt
Filed under: Bacillus sp. PAS28
Lineage: Bacteria; Bacillati; Bacillota; Bacilli; Caryophanales; Bacillaceae
Description: bacterial SSU rRNA
Rfam family: Bacterial small subunit ribosomal RNA
Source: RNAcentral
ACAUGCAAGUCGAGCGGGUCGAUGGGAGCUUGCUCCCUGAGAUUAGCGGCGGACGGGUGAGUAACACGUGGGCAACCUGCCUAUAAGACUGGGAUAACUUCGGGAAACCGGAGCUAAUACCGGAUACGUUCUUUUCUCGCAUGAGAGAAGAUGGAAAGACGGUUUCGGCUGUCACUUAUAGAUGGGCCCGCGGCGCAUUAGCUAGUUGGUGAGGUAAUGGCUCACCAAGGCGACGAUGCGUAGCCGACCUGAGAGGGUGAUCGGCCACACUGGGACUGAGACACGGCCCAGACUCCUACGGGAGGCAGCAGUAGGGAAUCUUCCGCAAUGGACGAAAGUCUGACGAGCAACGCCGCGUGAACGAAGAAGGCCUUCGGGUCGUAAAGUUCUGUUGUUAGGGAAGAACAAGUACCAGAGUAACUGCUGGUACCUUGACGGUACCUAACCAGAAAGCCACGGCUAACUACGUGCCAGCAGCCGCGGUAAUACGUAGGUGGCAAGCGUUGUCCGGAAUUAUUGGGCGUAAAGCGCGCGCAGGUGGUUCCUUAAGUCUGAUGUGAAAGCCCACGGCUCAACCGUGGAGGGUCAUUGGAAACUGGGGAACUUGAGUGCAGAAGAGGAAAGUGGAAUUCCAAGUGUAGCGGUGAAAUGCGUAGAGAUUUGGAGGAACACUUGUGGCGAAGGCGACUUUCUGGUCUGUAACUGAC